AUAUUGGACAAUGGGCGAAAGCCUGAUCCAGCCAUGCCGCGUGUGUGAAGAAGGUCUNNNGAUUGNACAGCACCUUAAGUUGGNAGGNAGGGCUUUAGGUUAAUACCCUGAAGUUUUGACGUUACCAACAGAAUAAGCACCGGCUAACUCUGUGCCAGCAGCCGCGGUAAUACAGAGGGUGCAAGCGUUAAUCGGAAUUACUGGGCGUAAAGCGCGCGUAGGCGGUUUGAUAAGUUGGAUGUGAAAGCCCCGGGCUCAACCUGGGAAUUGCCUCCAAGACUGUCAGGCUAGAGUACGGGAGAGGGGGGUAGAAUUCCACGUGUAGCGGUGAAAUGCGUAGAGAUGUGGAGGAAUACCGGUGGCGAAGGCGGCCCCCUGGAUCGAUACUGACGCUGAGGUGCGAAAGCGUGGGGAGCAAAC
This 420-nucleotide ribosomal RNA is filed under the name uncultured bacterium. RNAcentral's name for it is "partial 16S ribosomal RNA". It matches the Rfam family "Bacterial small subunit ribosomal RNA", at positions 361 to 773 of the family's 1533-position model. The record is from RNAcentral.